UACGGAGGAUGCAAGCGUUAUCCGGAAUCAUUGGGCGUAAAGCGUCCGUAGGUGGCUUUUCAAGUCUGCCGUCAAAGACCGGGGCUUAACCCCAGAAAGGCGGUGGAAACUGAAUAGCUAGAGUGCGGUAGGGGUAGAGGGAAUUCCCGGUGUAGCGGUGAAAUGCGUAGAGAUCGGGAAGAACACCGGUGGCGAAGGCGGUUCUCUGGGCCUGACCUGACGCUGAGGAGCGAAAGCGUGGGGAGCGAACAGG
This 253-nucleotide ribosomal RNA is filed under the name uncultured bacterium. RNAcentral describes it as "partial 16S ribosomal RNA". It matches the Rfam family "Bacterial small subunit ribosomal RNA", at positions 524 to 776 of the family's 1533-position model. The record is from RNAcentral.